UACGGAGGGGGCUAGCGUUGUUCGGAAUUACUGGGCGUAAAGCGCACGUAGGCGGAUAUUUAAGUCAGGGGUGAAAUCCCAGAGCUCAACUCUGGAACUGCCUUUGAUACUGGGUAUCUUGAGUAUGGAAGAGGUGAGUGGAAUUCCGAGUGUAGAGGUGAAAUUCGUAGAUAUUCGGAGGAACACCAGUGGCGAAGGCGGCUCACUGGUCCAUUACUGACGCUGAGGUGCGAAAGCGUGGGGAGCAAACAGG
Molecule: ribosomal RNA, 253 nt
Filed under: uncultured bacterium
Lineage: Bacteria
Description: partial 16S ribosomal RNA
Rfam family: Bacterial small subunit ribosomal RNA
Source: RNAcentral